GUGGGGAAUAUUGGACAAUGGGCGAAAGCCUGAUCCAGCCAUGCCGCGUGUGUGAAGAAGGUCUUCGGAUUGUAAAGCACUUUAAGUUGGGAGGAAGGGCAGUAAGUUAAUACCUUGCUGUUUUGACGUUACCGACAGAAUAAGCACCGGCUAACUUCGUGCCAGCAGCCGCGGUAAUACGAAGGGUGCAAGCGUUAAUCGGAAUUACUGGGAGUAAAGCGCGCGUAGGUGGUUUUGUAAGUUGGUGGUGAAAUCCCCGGGCUCAACCUGGGAACUGCCUCCAAAACUGCAUGACUAGAGUACGGUAGAGGGUAGUGGAAUUUCCUGUGUAGCGGUGAAAUGCGUAGAUAUAGGAAGGAACACCAGUGGCGAAGGCGACUACCUGGACUGAUACUGACACGGAGGUGCGAAAGCGUGGGGAGCAAACAGGAUUAGAUACCCUUGUAGUCC
RNAcentral lists this ribosomal RNA (450 nucleotides) under uncultured bacterium. RNAcentral's name for it is "partial 16S ribosomal RNA". It matches the Rfam family "Bacterial small subunit ribosomal RNA", at positions 354 to 796 of the family's 1533-position model. The record is from RNAcentral.